This 399-nucleotide ribosomal RNA is filed under the name uncultured bacterium. RNAcentral describes it as "partial 16S ribosomal RNA". It matches the Rfam family "Bacterial small subunit ribosomal RNA", at positions 361 to 776 of the family's 1533-position model. The record is from RNAcentral.
AUAUUGCACAAUGGGCGCAAGCCUGAUGCAGCAACGCCGCGUGCGCGACGAAGGCCUUCGGGUCGUAAAGCGCUUUUCGGGGAGAUGAUUACUGACAGUAUCCCCGGAAGAAGGAUCGGCUAACUACGUGCCAGCAGCCGCGGUAAAACGUAGGAUCCGGGCGUUAUCCGAAUUCACUGGGCGCAAAGCGCAAGCAGGCAGCCCCACAAGUUGGAUGUGAAAUCUCCCGGCUCAACUGGGAGGGGACGUUCAAAACUGUGCGGCUCGAGGGCGGUAGAGGAAGGUAGAAUUCCCGGUGUAGUGGUGAAAUGCGUAGAUAUCGGGAGGAAUACCCGUGGCGAAGGCGACCUUCUGGACCGUUUCUGACGCUCAGAUGCGAAAGCUAGGGGAGCGAACGGG